Long non-coding RNA from Andrographis paniculata, 236 nucleotides. RefSeq lists it as uncharacterized. NCBI's taxonomy places the organism in Eukaryota, Viridiplantae, Streptophyta, Magnoliopsida, Lamiales, Acanthaceae. The transcript has 3 exons. The record is from RefSeq and is a predicted model, not a curated record.
GCGUUGAGAUGUCUGAAAUUAGAACCAUCCGUGCUGAGAUGUCUGCUUUGUUGAAUUCUUCCCCGCGUGCCUCGAUACGGGGCCCUUGUUCUAGCCGCACAGAUGGAAGGUCAGAGACGCCUGGGACUGAUGUCCUUAACCCACUGACGCUCGGGUCUCGUAUUCUUCUCAUAUCUCAUGGUUUGGAAAAACGCGUUGUUGGUGAGGGGGUGUUGCUAUCCGACCCUACCCUAGGU